RNAcentral lists this ribosomal RNA (455 nucleotides) under uncultured Ignavibacteria bacterium. RNAcentral's name for it is "partial 16S ribosomal RNA". It matches the Rfam family "Bacterial small subunit ribosomal RNA", at positions 338 to 794 of the family's 1533-position model. Lineage: Bacteria; Pseudomonadati; Ignavibacteriota; Ignavibacteria. The record is from RNAcentral.
CCUACGGGAGGCAGCAGUGAGGAAUAUUGGGCAAUGCCCGAAAGGGUGACCCAGCAACGCCGCGUGGAGGAUGAAGUCCUUCUGGACGUAAACUCCUUUUAGAGGGGACGAAAAGCCCGAUUUGUCGGGAAUUGACGGUACCCUCAGAAAAAGCACCGGCUAACUACGUGCCAGCAGCCGCGGUAAUACGUAGGGCAAGCGUUGUCCGGAUUCACUGGGUGUAAAGGGUGCGCAGGCGGGCUCUUAAGUCAAAGGUAAAGUCUCUCGGCUUAACCGAGAAAUUGCCUUUGAUACUGAGAGCCUUGAGUACGGGAGAGGGAGAUGAAAUUCCAGGUGUAGCGGUGAAAUGCGUAGAUAUCUGGAGGAACACCGGAGGCGAAGGGGGUCCCCUGGCCCGUUACUGACGCUCAGGCACGAAAGCGUGGGGAACAAACAGGAUUAGAUACCCCGUUAGU